UUGUUGGUGAUCCCUGUGUAUCUGAGGCCUUCUGAAGCCUGAUGAGAACUGAAGAGGACUUCAAUUUAGUCUGUUUUCCAUGCUUGAUGACAAGGUUCAGGACCCCCUCCUAUAAACUCAGGCAUGAGAGAUAUCAUCUCUAAAAAUUCAAGCCUGGGGCAGCCAGCAAUGACAGAACAAAAGAGAACAUAUUUCUUCUCCUUGUCCACUGCUAACUGUUUCAAGCUGAGCCCCAGAAAUAAAAUGAUCCUGUUCAGCCCCAAAGGCAUUUAUAUGUAACCAUUGCUGCAUUCAGCCUUUCACUUCACUGCAAGAAAGAUUUAUGCUCUGAAGGAUGAUGAGAAGGGCUAUGUUAUUAAUCAUGAAAUCCAUCAUCUGUCCAAAAACCUGAUGGAAGAGGUCCCACCAAGGUCCUAACUCUGUGUUUGCCAACUCCUGAGAUGGCUCCUGGGAUUCAGCAUGAUUCACUUCUGAGUGGCAACGUUUGGGCAUGUGAAGGAUCUGCCUGCACUAGGCACAGCUGCCACAUGCAAUGACAGAAGGACAAGGCUGUCUAUGGCCACACAGCACCCAUCUCACCUCCCACCCCUGGUUGCCAGUGGGGCGAUCCAGCUCCCUGCUGCUGUGGUAGUGUGGAUGAGCCCUCCCUGAGCCCUUCAGUCUAAAUAAGACCAGUUAACAAAGCUUUCAUAUUGAAACACUCAUCUGGGAUCAAAUGGGCUGGCUGGUGGCUUCUGCACAGCUUUUUUUCCUUGUGCCUUACUUGCACUGUUCAGCAGUUGAUAAAUCAGUGCUAUCACAGAUCUUGUAUGAUGCCGUAAUGGUGAUAGAUAGCCACUUUCUUCCCUGCCCCCCUCCUCGUUUGCUUUUUUGGAGCAAGUUUCUGAAUAUUUUCUUGUUUUCUCUCUGUUUUGAUCAUGCCCUGGGGUUUGGCUGAAUGAUCAAAGUAGUCAGAGCAUGGUGAAUUGAGCUCUGUCCUCAGGUUACGUCCAUGCAAAUCAAGAGCAGCGGGAAGACUGGCUCGGACUUUCAAGAAGGUGGCUGAAAGGAGAAUAGGCCCUAAGGUCAUUAAAGGGGAUUGCAGGGAUUUUAGAAAAACAUCGUUUUCUGUGACAGGGAGGGAAGUUGGUAUGGCACUAAUGUGGGCACCAAAUCCAUCCAGAACACACAGGCUAAAUAAGGAUGGGGCUAUCCCAUUAGACCUCAGCCCUCAGAGGCAACAUGAUGGAACCCAGAUGGAAGUGUGAUGGGAAAACUGAGCUGCAGACUAGUCUGGCACUGUACCACCAUGUCUGAAGCCUAAAUUUGCUGUCACACAAAUCCAUCCAUGUAAAUCCAGCCUAGCGGGCCCAUGGCAGCUGUUCAACCUUUUUGGUGCUUAUUGAUGUAACUACUGAUUUUUUUUUUUCACUGAUAUGAGAAGUAACUCAGCUAUUAGUGAGUAUGCUUAUGACUGUAGCGUGUAGGCACCCUGAAUAGUGCUCUUUCAUGCUUGGAGUUGCAUAUAUUCCUACUGUAUGCCCUAAGCAGCAGUGGUGGAAGAAGCAGGGCAUCCCAGGAGGGCAGAGUGGUGCUGGUACACUUAUGCACUGACCAAAUAUGAAAAAGCAUUUGGUCUUUAUGUGAAAAAGAUGUAAAUGAGAGAGAACUGGCUGAGAGAUGGGGGGGAAGGCAGCAAGGUAGGCAGUUCUGAUGGCUCCUGCAGAUUGUCUGCAUUUCAGGUUUUCAUCUAUUUCUUUCUCUGUCCCUACUCAGCUUGUGUUUAACAUCAGCAGCCUUCCAUCAUCACAUUCUGUAUGUGCAUAGUUUAUGAUGAGACAUGUCUUAAGCUUCCAGGUAGCAAAACAAAAAUGACUAAAGUCCUCUGCCUUACAACUCAACAGCAAGGGGACUGUUUUCCACAGAUUUUGAAGAGCUGGUGUGGGAGUCAACACUUUAACAACUCCCACCUCCUCAACAGAAUGCUUGUGGACUUCAGGAUCUGACUCAAGGGGUGCAAUUCAGCUGUCAUUCUGGGACGUGUCCCUCUUACCCCACUCUUGGUGCAUGCCUGCCUUUGCCCAUCAUCUACUCCUCCUGCAGAGCUUCCUGCACUCCAUACCUAAUUUCUUCCUCAAUUUCUUCCUCUCGCCUGUGCUGUUUUGUGAUUCCAUAUUUUGCAGCUCUAUAGGGAGAAGUGCUUCUGCUGAUUUCUUUUUUUUUUUCCUCAGUUGCUACUGCUACCGUUUAGUCUGUGGCAGAGCUGUGCUAUCCUACACCUCAUCUGCACUGCUCUUGCCCAGGCUCCUCUGUCCCUCCUGUUUUCUUUCCUCUUUGUCAGGGGAGGGUAUUUGCAGCAUCUGGGCUCCAGAUCUGGGGCAGAGAAGGUAGUCCUCCCGUGCUGGUGCUGCAAUAGUGAGCACUCAGCUGAUGGAAGCAGUGCUAGGUGGCUCUAGAUGCUUCCAGGUGUGAGCAAGUUUGCAAAUCCCUGAGUUUAGAGAUGGUUUUGGGUGUGCAUACCCAGCAGUGAAGCCACAGACAGCUUAGGAGGCACAGGAGAUGCACAGAGCUGGAUUGCACCACAGGCACAAGGAAAUCUAGAAAAGAUUCAGACACUGAAUUUGGGCAACCGAGUCCCAGUGGGCAACUGAAGCCAAAGCACAGUGGUAGUGAAGACUUUCCUCUUCAAUUUAACUCUGAUAAAAACUAAAUAUGGAAUUCCAGCAUUCAGAGAAGUUGAAAAGCUCUGCACAGGACUUCCUGUAUCCUCUUCUGGAGAAGGGCAACAUGGUGGAACAUUAAACUGAAGAAAUAAAUGCUUGUAGAUUUGUGAAUGCUGGCCAGACUGGGCACACUGCUCAGAAGGAGCACUGGGACUGAUCUGCUGGCACCAGUGUGUAACUGCUGGUGGAUUUUACCACCCACUUAUCCAGCCUUGAUUUAUGAAAUCAGCCAGGAACAUCUUCUGCUUCGAAAGGGAAUAGGUCUUUAAUAAAUGAAGAUGCAUGGGAAAGAAUUAAAACCUGACAUCGCAUUAGGAGAGCAAAGAUUAUUUCUCUCCUUCCUCUGUAAAAUCUGAUCAUACAUGGAAUUAUCCAAGAAAAGUUCUAUCAGAAGGAACUAGAUAGAACUGAUAGCUCUGAUGGCAGAGCAGGGAGCACAGAAGUCGUGGCUGUGCUUGUGUGCCAGGGUUCCUCAUUUGGCCAUCCCUCCUAUGGGCAAUCACAGCCUCACACAAGCAGGGAAGGGCCAGAAAUCAGUCUGCCAACAACUGGUUCACUGCCCACCUGAAGUGCCCAGCUUCAUUCCAAACCUGCUGCUGUCAGAGCUUGGAGCAUGCAAAGCUGUUAUGGGGCAACCCUUCUGCUCCUGCCUGUAUAGGGGAUGUGAGCACUACCUGGGCAAUGGAAGGAGAAAAAUCACUUCUUGCCCCUCUUAGUUUUUGCUUUCUAACAAAAUAAGGAGUUAGGAGCAUGGUUCCCUCUAGCACGGCAUUCCUCAGGUCAAGCCUGCACCAGAUACCACCUGGUAUUGCAAGGAGGAAACCUGUUCCUGCAUUAUCCUGGUGCUAGAAACUGUCUGCUUGCCUUUGAUUCACUUUCAGCCCUGUUUCCUCUGGUCCCAAGUCAACAUUAAUCUUAAUUAUGUCUCAGCUAACAAGCCUCUAAGAGUUUAUUAAACAGGCUUUUGUGUUCCCUAAUUGAAAAUCUCAGUGCAAAGUGUUUCCGCGCUGCUUCCGACUCUCCUGCUGUUUGACAAAUGGCAAUGGGAGGUGGGUGGAGGGGAGAGGGAUGGGGCACUGAUGGCAGCGCUGCCGUUCAGCUGUUGCAUCCUGGCAGGAGCUGAGGGGGACAGCCAGUAAGUCUGCCUGCAGCACAGUGAUCCUCUUGGUAGGGCAGUGGUAACUAAAAUGCCUGUUGUCAAAUUGCCUGAUGCAUAGACACAGCAUCACAUGGCCACUAAAUGUCUCUAAGAAGGGACAGCAAGUCUGCCAGGCACCAUGCGUGGGUUGGAGGGCUCAUCAUGUCCCUACCUGGGAGGAAGUGUGGAUCUGCCUGAGGGCAGGGAGACCCUACAGGUGGAUCUGGAUAGGAUGAAUGGGCUGAGACCAAUGAGAUGAGCUUCAACAAAGCCAAGUGCCAAGUCCUGCACUUUUGUCACAAUAACCCCAUGGUGAAGAUGGAUUGGCAGUUGGAU
This is a long non-coding RNA of Numida meleagris (helmeted guineafowl), 4176 nucleotides long. RefSeq lists it as uncharacterized. The record is from RefSeq and is a predicted model, not a curated record. NCBI's taxonomy places the organism in Eukaryota, Metazoa, Chordata, Aves, Galliformes, Numididae. The transcript is spliced from 3 exons.